Molecule: ribosomal RNA, 300 nt
Filed under: uncultured Algoriphagus sp.
Lineage: Bacteria; Pseudomonadati; Bacteroidota; Cytophagia; Cytophagales; Cyclobacteriaceae
Description: partial 16S ribosomal RNA
Rfam family: Bacterial small subunit ribosomal RNA
Source: RNAcentral
ACGAACUGUGGAGUAGCAGCGUGGGUAAUACGAAGGGUGUGAGCUUUAGUCUGAAUUACUGUGCCUAAAGGGUGCGUGGGGAGUUCUGUAAGUAUGGCGUGAAAUGCCCGUGCGCGACCGGGGAAUUGCGAUGGCUACUGGCGAGCGAUAGUGUGUCAGAGGAUGGUGGAAUUCCCGGUGUAGCGGUGAAAUGCGUAGAGAUCGGGAGGAACAUCAGUGGCGAAGGCGGCCAUCUGGGACAACACUGACGCUGAAGCACGAAAGCGUGGGGAGCAAACAGGAUUAGAUACCCGUGUAGUC